RNA transcript from Fragaria vesca subsp. vesca, 851 nucleotides. RefSeq lists it as uncharacterized. Lineage: Eukaryota; Viridiplantae; Streptophyta; Magnoliopsida; Rosales; Rosaceae. The record is from RefSeq and is a predicted model, not a curated record. The transcript is spliced from 3 exons.
AUAGGAAAGAUGAUCUGAUCUAUGGGUGUCAAGGAGGGUGGGAGCCUUGGUUUGAUGGGUCAUGUCUCACAGGCUAUGGAUGAUAGUGGAGGCAGAAUUCUUUGCCAGAGCUCAAUGAUUCCAUACGGCCAGAGCUCAUUCCACCACUUCAGUACCAAAUUGAUGGAAUUACAUUUCAGAACCAUCAAUCGGCGAUGAAUGUUUAAAUGCUCAGCAAAAUUGAAAAGAACGAAGAGAAAUAACUGGAUCGGCACGAGAAAGUAUUGGAUCGUCACGAGAAAGAACUGGAUCGGCACGCUAAAUCAAUGACAUUGAUAGAGAAGUUGCAGGAGCAACAUAAAUCGAUUGAGCAGUCCCACAUAUCAAAUUCCCAAGUAUUUCAGAGGGUGGCAUUGGUGGAUUCAAAAGCUUUGGUUUCUUCAUUUUUGGGAUGGUAGGACUAGGAAAGAUAAUACCAGCAGUGUUUUGGUAGUGAUUUCCCUAGCUCGGGGAAAUUUCUUGGCUUGCAGUCGGCUUCUUUGCGUGAUUGCAUCCUUGGAUUUGCUAGUUCAUCCUUCUCAGCUUGUCUGUUGGAACUUCUGUGUUUUUUUGUUAUUUUGGAUGUUCUUUUUUUGGUUGCGAGCCCUCCUUGUGUUUCAUCUGUGUUGGCAAUAUCAUCCAUUGGUGCCAACUUUUAUAUUCCUUGUUCUGUGGUCCUUACGACGAGAGAGAUGAUUAUCAAAUUGAGAUUGAAGCAAGAGGGAAACAAAGAACUUAGAGAGGGAAAACACCAAAGAUACUGUUGAUUAGGGUUGUCUGGUCCCAGGUCUCAAUGAUUUGGAUUUGGUCUCUUUCCAUCUCAUGGAACGGAA